CUGGCUCAGGACGAACGCUGGCGGCGUGCUUAACACAUGCAAGUCGAACGGUAAGGCCCUUCGGGGUACACGAGUGGCGAACGGGUGAGUAACACGUGGGUGAUCUGCCCUGCACUUUGGGAUAAGCCUGGGAAACUGGGUCUAAUACCGAAUAUGACCAUGGACUUCACGGUUUGUGGUGGAAAGCUUUUGCGGUGUGGGAUGGGCCCGCGGCCUAUCAGCUUGUUGGUGGGGUAAUGGCCUACCAAGGCGACGACGGGUAGCCGGCCUGAGAGGGUGACCGGCCACACUGGGACUGAGAUACGGCCCAGACUCCUACGGGAGGCAGCAGUGGGGAAUAUUGCACAAUGGGCGCAAGCCUGAUGCAGCGACGCCGCGUGAGGGACGACGGCCUUCGGGUUGUAAACCUCUUUCAGCACAGACGAAGCGCAAGUGACGGUAUGUGCAGAAGAAGGACCGGCCAACUACGUGCCAGCAGCCGCGGUAAUACGUAGGGUCCGAGCGUUGUCCGGAAUUACUGGGCGUAAAGAGCUCGUAGGUGGUUUGUCGCGUUGUUCGUGAAAACUCACAGCUCAACUGUGGGCGUGCGGGCGAUACGGGCAGACUGGAGUACUGCAGGGGAGACUGGAAUUCCUGGUGUAGCGGUGGAAUGCGCAGAUAUCAGGAGGAACACCGGUGGCGAAGGCGGGUCUCUGGGCAGUAACUGACGCUGAGGAGCGAAAGCGUGGGGAGCGAACAGGAUUAGAUACCCGGGG
This 755-nucleotide ribosomal RNA is filed under the name Mycobacterium sp. RNAcentral describes it as "bacterial SSU rRNA". It matches the Rfam family "Bacterial small subunit ribosomal RNA", at positions 19 to 791 of the family's 1533-position model. Lineage: Bacteria; Bacillati; Actinomycetota; Actinomycetes; Mycobacteriales; Mycobacteriaceae. The record is from RNAcentral.